GAUGAACGCUGGCGGCGUGCCUAAUACAUGCAAGUCGAGCGAACAGACGAGGCGCUUGCUCCUUCGACGUUAGCGGCGGACGGGUGAGUAACACGUAGGUAACCUACCUAUAAGACUGGGAUAACUUCGGGAAACCGGAGCUAAUACCGGAUAAUAUUUCGAACCGCAUGGUUCGAUAGUGAAAGAUGGCUUUGCUAUCACUUAUAGAUGGACCUGCGCCGUAUUAGCUAGUUGGUAAGGUAACGGGUUACCAAGGCAACGAUACGUAGCCGACCUGAGAGGGUGAUCGGCCGCACUGGAACUGAGACACGCUCCAGACUCCUACGGGAGGCAGCAGUAGGGAAUCUUCCGCAAAGGGCGAAAGCCUGGCGGAGCGACGCCGCGUGAGUGAUGAAGGUCUUCGGAGCGUAAAACUCUGUUAUUAGGGAAGAACAAACGUGUAAGUGGCUGAGCACGUCGUGACGGUACCUGAUCAGAAAGCCACGGCUAACUACGUG
Molecule: ribosomal RNA, 497 nt
Filed under: uncultured bacterium
Lineage: Bacteria
Description: partial 16S ribosomal RNA
Rfam family: Bacterial small subunit ribosomal RNA
Source: RNAcentral